This 523-nucleotide ribosomal RNA is filed under the name uncultured bacterium. RNAcentral describes it as "bacterial SSU rRNA". It matches the Rfam family "Bacterial small subunit ribosomal RNA", at positions 335 to 861 of the family's 1533-position model. The record is from RNAcentral.
CACCUACGGGAGGCAGCAGUAAGGAAUAUUGCUCAAUGGGGGAAACCCUGAAGCAGCAACGCCGCGUGAAGGAUGAAAUACUUUUGUAUGUAAACUUCUGUAAGAUGGGAAAAAUAUUCUCCUCGGGAGAAUUGAUUGUACCAUCAGAGUAAGCCCCGGCUAACUACGUGCCAGCAGCCGCGGUAAUACGUAGGGGGCAAGCGUUGUCCGGAUUCACUGGGUGUAAAGGGUGCUCAGGCGGACUUGUAAGUCAGAGGUGAAACUCCGAAGCUUAACUUCGGAACUGCCUUUGAUACUGCAAGUCUCGAGUACGGGAGAGGGUAAUGGAAUAACAGGUGUAGCAGUGAAAUGCGUAGAUAUCUGUUAGAACACCAAUGGCGAAGGCAGUUGCCUGGCCCGUUACUGACGCUAAAGCACGAAAGUGUGGGUAGCAAACAGGAUUAGAUACCCUGGUAGUCCACACCCUAAACGAUGAGAACUAGUUGUUGGCCCUUUUAAGGGUCAGUGACUUAGCUAACGCAUU